UACGGAGGGUGCAAACGUUGCUCGGAAUCAUUGGGCGUAAAGCGCACGUAGGCGGUCCAGCAAGUCGGGUGUGAAAGCCCUCGGCUUAACCGAGGAAGUGCAUUCGAAACUACAGGACUUGAAUACUGGAGAGGAUCGCGGAAUUCCCGGUGUAGAGGUGAAAUUCGUAGAUAUCGGGAGGAACACCAGUGGCGAAGGCGGCGAUCUGGACAGAUAUUGACGCUGAUGUGCGAAAGCGUGGGGAGCAAACAGG
Molecule: ribosomal RNA, 253 nt
Filed under: uncultured bacterium
Lineage: Bacteria
Description: partial 16S ribosomal RNA
Rfam family: Bacterial small subunit ribosomal RNA
Source: RNAcentral